Macaca mulatta (Rhesus monkey) is the source of this 1599-nucleotide non-coding RNA. The record is from RefSeq and is a predicted model, not a curated record. NCBI's taxonomy places the organism in Eukaryota, Metazoa, Chordata, Mammalia, Primates, Cercopithecidae.
GAAGGGCAAGUAAGUUGCAACCCAAAUAGUGGGAUGUUGUACAGAAGGAAGAAUGUCUCCCCUGAUCAAAAUUACCUUCUUUCCAUCCAACCAGGUUAUUGGUUCCUCCAGGUGCAGAAACAUGGGCCAGUGGCUGAGGCCCGGCUCCACGAGGAAAUGUUGGGAGAAGGCAACACACAUGGAGGAGAAGCAAGGAGGCAGCCAUGGGUGUCCAUGCUGAAGGAAGACGCAAGUUCUUAGAGGCAAGCUUCAAGUUCAACGACGAAACAACUCGAAGGAGAUGUUACCAGAUGGAAGGUCUUGACUCUCUUUUGAGAUCUACAAGGACAGUGAACAGACAUCAUGGAGGGAAUGCUGGAGUCGGUUACCCACGUAUCUGUUAUGCCAGAGGAAUGGGGUCCACAGUGGUCAGUGUGAGGCUCAGCCAGUGUGAGGGGAGGAACCAAGUUUGCACAGAGAAAGACGCAAGAGCGCCGUGCUGAGCUCCCGCUCCCUAUUCCAGCCUCACAGAGACCCAGUCACACCUCGCUCUUCCCCUCAUGUGGACUUCCCUGACCUACACCAGUGCCAGCCGCAUUUCUGCCACUUUAAGCUGAAGCCGAGCCCGGACUGACACAGUUUUCUCAUUUCCCCGAGAGCAGCACCACUCCUGAUUAUCCCCUCCCAAGCCCCAGGAAACUCGCAACAAAAGCAGUCUUAGAUUAAAUUCAGUGAGUUUCUGCAUCACAACAGGAAACUGUGUCGAGCACAAAGGUGUCCUGCGAACAGGCUCAAUCACAAGCUCCGCCAAGACGGGAGGUGACAGAGGCCCCAGAAAGCCCGUUCCCGACAACGCCAAUACUGCACGUUUAUCAGCUGCGGCGAGAGUUGGCUGGAGGCGGUGGCGGUACCUCAAUGCUCCUGCCUCGUCUUCGAGAUUCUUCUGUUUGAUGAUGCCUCCUCACUGUUUCUAUAGUGUGGCUAUGGUGUGGCUCACAACCAAGCGAUGACUCUCCAGAUUCAAAGACCACAUCUCACCCUCUCGAAAGCGCCCAGGUGCCCAGCGCAGUGCCGUGUGCAGAAAGGGGUUGAUGAGCAUUUGCUGAGCUGGGUGAUGAUCCCAUGGGCAUUGUUUCCUCUGCCCUCAGUCUCCAGCCUGCAGACGCCUGAAUGGAUUCUGGAGAGGUGUGUGUUGGACUCUGAGGGUCCUCUGAGCCCAUCCGGGAUAACGAUGCUCCUCCCAGGCGUCUGCUCGGCAGCGUGCUGUCGGCAGGACAUUCCGCACCAGGUAUCUUCACGCUGCUUCUGGCUGGACUUAGGGCACGAUGGAAACAUAGAAACAACUGUAGUUCUGCCACGGGGCCCCACAUCUGCUCAUCCUGGGACAGUCACGUCAUCCCCACCCAGGAAGCGGCAGCAGAUUUCAGGACCCUGGAGAGGGCCAGGCCCCAGUGGCUGGUCAAGCUCCUCAGGGUUAGGGGAGCAGCUCAGGAAGGCCCCCCCAGGACGAUGAGGGGAACAGGAAUGAAAUCAGCAGGUGGGCGGGAGGAACUUGAUCAGAGCAGUGGGAGGGCAGGAAGCACGCUGGGGAGGGGCCCCUGAGAGGCCACCACCCAGGGA